This 529-nucleotide ribosomal RNA is filed under the name uncultured Ilumatobacter sp. RNAcentral describes it as "bacterial SSU rRNA". It matches the Rfam family "Bacterial small subunit ribosomal RNA", at positions 374 to 920 of the family's 1533-position model. The record is from RNAcentral. Lineage: Bacteria; Bacillati; Actinomycetota; Acidimicrobiia; Acidimicrobiales; Ilumatobacteraceae.
GGGGCAGCUGAUGCAGCACGCCGCGUGCGGGAAGACAGCCCUAGGGUUGUAAACCGCUUUCAGUAGGGAAGAAAAUGACGGUACCUACAGAAGAAGGUGCGGCCAACUACGUGCCAGCAGCCGCGGUGACACGUAGGCACCAAGCGUUAUCCGGAUUUAUUGGGCGUAAAGAGCUCGUAGGCGGUUUGGUAAGUCGGGUGUGAAAACUCAGGGCUUAACCCUGAGACGCCACCCGAUACUGCCAUGACUUGAGUACGGUAGGGGAGCGGGGAACUCCUGGUGUAGCGGUGAAAUGCGCAGAUAUCAGGAAGAACACCGGUGGCGAAGGCGCCGCUCUGGGCCGUAACUGACGCUGAGGAGCGAAAGCGUGGGUAGCAAACAGGAUUAGAUACCCUGGUAGUCCACGCCGUAAACGUUGGGCACUAGGUGUGGGUCUCAACUAACGAGAUCCGCGCCGUAGCUAACGCAUUAAGUGCCCCGCCUGGGGAGUACGGUCGCAAGACUAAAACUCAAAGAAAAUUUGAACGGA